AAAGAAAGUGGUGUACUACUACCUAAUAAAAUUUAUGUAGUACAGAUUUGACAGUACAGACAUAUUUUGCUUUGCGCCUCAUGCUGAUUGUGUAGUACAUAUCCAAAUGGCAUACAAAUGGCUACAUUAUGCUAACGACCCCUGAUAAGCUGUGACAGACCAAUCUCAAUUCUAAGGGAGUAGGGCAAUGUUUGAAGAACAUAAUUGGAACAAUUAAUGGGCUCGUCCAUUAGAGACUGCAAAGAAGCUUCACUAGUCCUUUUUCAGCCGUUGGCAUCUCGCGAAAGUGAAAUCCAUCUGGAAAUGCAGGAGUUGUAUUUGUAUUUGCAUCGCCAGGGGCCAGGGCUAAUCAGUAAUGGCCUUAUCGCUGACAAGCUGGAUGCCUUAUCUUUUGCUGGUUGGAUGAUGGGCUUUGUCCGUCAGAACUCGUGGUUGGCCAGAAUGGCUGCGGGACCAUAAUAUCUAUCGUAUCAAAUCAAAUGAAAUCACUUUUUUCCUGCUCACCUCUGUUCCAGCCUUGAAACAACCAACCUUUGUCCUGAUUACAUUACACCUGGCUUUUAAUAGAGUUGAAUAACCACAACUAUGUCCAAGUCCAAAUACAAGAAAGAAAAACCAUACCUGUCUAUUAUUUGGAUAGAGAGGAACUUUUAUCACAUAGUAACACACCUGGCUUUCAUUUUUUUUUCCCUUUUUGGGGUUUUCCAAAUGUAGGGCCAAACUACAACCAUUCAAUUGAUUUUAGUGACUAAUUGGCUAGAUAGUGUUGGUUUGUAGGCUCCACCUCAGAUUGUGCUUUGCACCAGGAUUUCGAUGACCUCUGAGUGUUAAUCUAACUUUGUUGUGUUAUUUUCAGUAAUUUCGAUUGUUGAAAAAAAAUUGAUUUUAGUGGCAGCGAUAUUUUUGUUUCAUUUUGGCGUAGAUGUACACCAUUCGACAUUUAGAUAUUUCAAUUUCCUACAAAUUCCAAAUGUAUAAUUCAUUGGAGAGAAAUUAGGUUUCUGUUAGCCAUAAUUAAUUUGCAAGUAUACAAACCAGCUAAUCAUCACGCCAAAAAUUAGUUUUUUUAUCAUUGUAGAUUUCAAAUGCAAGGCUAAGCAUAAUAAUUACUAAUUAGUGUGUUUUUUUUCCCUUUUCAAGAAUCCUCAUUUAUUAUCUACCUAUAUAGUAAAAGCACGAAUGGGUUUUCUGAGGA
This is a non-coding RNA of Coffea arabica (coffee), 1195 nucleotides long. The record is from RefSeq and is a predicted model, not a curated record. Lineage: Eukaryota; Viridiplantae; Streptophyta; Magnoliopsida; Gentianales; Rubiaceae.